ACAGACUAGAGCCAGAAACAAUCGCGAAAACAAAUGGAACGAUCGCGAAAAUAAAGGGAACGAUCGCGAUUGUAACGCAAGGACGUCGUCGCCGGCAUCGCCAACCAGGAGUGAUUGCAAAUCAGUGCCGCCGUUGCACUUUGCCGGAGAGCCGGCCGAUCGCGAGCCACUGCCUUCUGCCGUCGAGCAACGCCACCGUUUCCAUCGCUGAUCAUCGGAUCAAGGCGCGGCCGCACAAAAUCGCCGGAACAGAUCCGGAGAGGGGAAUCGAAAAGGUUGCAGGGAAAGAGUAAAGGGAUACAGAGAACAAAGAAUAGGGAGAAAUUGUUUCAUUCCAUUGUACAUGUACAAGUUACAAAGGACAUAUAUAUAUAACACUAGUAAUAAUAAUAAUCACCGUUACAACAGUUACAAAAUAA
Molecule: long non-coding RNA, 419 nt
Organism: Ipomoea triloba (trilobed morning glory)
Lineage: Eukaryota; Viridiplantae; Streptophyta; Magnoliopsida; Solanales; Convolvulaceae
Exons: 2
Source: RefSeq, a predicted model, not a curated record